CUUCGGAUUAGCAGCCACACCAAGAGGAAAAUCAGCAGGGCUCCUGCCACCAUCCCUGUCACCGCUCCUGCGACCAUGCCGAUGCUUUGUACAUCUGUUUUCUCAGAAACAAAAGCAAAAGGUGUACCGGCCCUCGUCACUGGGCUUCAGAGGCUCAAUCUGCAGGGAAGCAUCUCCUGCGAGGAAAUUGGAAGCAAAGGCCACCCGGCCCUUCUGUUCCUCAGUCAAGUUACUGUAGACAUGACGACUGGAGUAUGUGAUCACCUGAGGGACAGAUGGAGGCAGAGUCAAGCAGGGUGGCUCUCAGCUUUGUUCUCCUGCUGAGCUCAAGAUGAGGAAAGGGAAUGCUCCUAAUGGAACAAAGCAGUCAAACCUGGGGCUGAUUCUAAGAAUCCAAGAGACCUCUAUUCUAAACAAAGUUAAAUCCAGUAUGUUUGUUCUAAGAAUAAGAACACCUCAUAUUUGUGUUGCAUUUUAACUAUAAAGUAGUAAUUGUCUCAGUAAGUGCUCAGAACCUUUCCAUUUUAUAGGUAAGGACUUUUCUUUUUGCCCCCCACCUUAAGGGAGGCACUGGAGAUUGAACCCAGGACCAUGUGCACGCCAUGCAUGCGCUCUGCCACCGACUGUACCACCCACCCCCAAAAAAGACUUUUAAAUGUGAGUUAGAGGCUGAAGAUCUCGGAGCUAAGUCCAGGAAAGAAGGAAAUGCACGGAAUGGUCUCCAGAGUUGACUCAGGAGAAGUGAGAGAAUGGAGGCUAAGGAAGGACAGAGACUUACCCCCCAUCCCCACAUACCUUCCUAACUUUUGAGUUUCCUACCACCUGCAUGUGAUCGGGUCAAAGUACAUACACCCCAUGUGCUUGGUGCUUUUCCAUCUGGUUUAUGUCUCACACAGUUUUUCCAAGUAUGCAUUAUCUAUCCCCAUUUCCCAGGCAGGCAGCAGAAGAAGGGUUUGACACAGCCAUCUAAAGCCAUCCAGUUCAUUGUUCUGGUUACCACCGUGACCUCUCCUUUUAUUGUGCUGCUCAUAGACUGCUUUCAGAAAGUUUGGAAAUGAAGGAGAAAACGUGAAAUGAAAAAAUGUGUUUUGUCUUUAUGAAAAUAAAGAGUUCAGCUGAAGUUAAAGAGCAGAAGUUAAUCAUUAGAAUCCAGGUCUGUUACUCAAGGCUUCACUGUUAGACUUCCCUCCUUUUUUUUUGGCUUCACUGUGGAUUAAUAAGAGUUAGUUAGGUGGGAAAAAAUUAUAUCCUUUCCUUCCACAAAAUACACAUAAGCUCCAUAUCUUUGUUUUCCCAGGUGGGGAGACCAAAGUUGAUUCCCCAACAGAAAAAAAAAAAAUCAUGAUUUUUACUGAAUUUUCAUCUGCCUGCAUCACAACCUCUAGUUCUUGAACCUUUUCCUGGUUCUCUUAGUCCAACACCUCCUGUUAAUCACACACACACAGACAAAACCAUGCUGAUCUAGUCUGCCAAGACUUGAAGCUAUGUAACUUCAGUUUUGCCCUCCCUGCCACUUACUAGUCAUAUUCCUAAACUUACUUGAUUUAAACAUCAGCAAACUUUUAUGGAAUGACUGCUCCCCAUCAGGUCAGGAGGAGGCUAUUAAGAUGCAUAAAAUCCUCUUCUUAUCUUCAAGUAACUUAUUAUCUAGUAGGAUUAACAAGGGGAGAAAUUUAAACAUAGAAAAUUAAGGAAUGAUUAACUUGAAAUAGUAUCCAAGAGAAUGUCCCAGAAAAGUUGGUGGCAUUUGAGCUAGGCUUUGAAAGAUGAGUAGACUGAAAAAGAAAUGCGAGAGGCAGGGAGAAGGUCGCUAGAGGGAGCAUUCCAGAUACACAGAAGGGCACUAAAAAAGAAGGCAGGCGAGCAAUGGGAGCCCCCAGCACACUUUCAGCUGCAGCUGUUCCAAAUUGUUUCACUCGGCUGUUAAGCCCGUAACCCAUCCUCAAUCACAUGACUCCCUACAGCUCAGGAAAUGCUUUCCUGAAAAGCUUUGAAGCAUCUAUAAAAUGGCCAUAAAUUCUCUCACCAGUAUAGCAAAACUUUUCAGUAUCAUCCAUUUUGCCCUUAGCACCUCUCUGAGAAAAGUGUUUUCUCCUUUCUCUGCAUUUUUUUCUUCUCCAGCAAAUAUUUGAGCACACAUAGUGUGCUGCAUGCUGGAGAACCAGCAGGAGUAAGACACAGUUCCUACCCUGAGGACCUCACAGUAGUGUGGGGGGUAAAAUGGGGGAGAAGCGAGUAUGAGAAAAUUGAGGUAGACCCUGUAACCAGUAAUACCAUUCAAACGUUUUAGGUCUUCAGUUUUGCCCCCUCACUUCAAUCCACACCACCACUGUGAUUGUUCUGACAUCCUUAUCUCUACCGCCAGCACAUUUUUGAGCUCCAGUGUUAUAUUUCCAGCUGCCUGGCCACUGCAGAUGUCUGUCCUAUCCAAUCUACCCUACAUAACAGUGUACCUUAAUGCCAAGUUAAUACUCAUGUAAAACUCACACUAGCUCUUUUCCAGACUGAAAACCUUUCAUGGCUCCCCACCACCUCUGAAUGAUGACCAGAUUCAGUCCAGGGUCAUCAAGAUGACCCCUGCAUCACUUUCCCAACCUCAUUUCCUGUUUAGUCCCCCUCACAUCCCUGGGUGCGUCCACAUUACGUUCCUUCCCUUGCUUUCCUGUGAGCUGUGCUUGCUUUGUACUCAUACACCUUUGCUCACAACAUUUUUUCACUUAGAAACUCCCUUUUCUCUCCACAUAAAGGAUUCAUAUCCAUUCUUUUAAACCCCAAAUCAGCGUUAACUCCUUCCUUGAUAUGAUACUCAGACUAAGAAUGGUCUCUUCUCUUUACUGUCAUCCAUGGCAUUUCUUGGCAUCAUUUUUAUGUGAGGAGAAAUUGUGAAAGACAAGACUUUGAGCAGUUUCCUGGAUCCCCCUUCUAUGAUUCUGGGCACGGUUCAGGAGACCCUUCGGGCUAAUUCUGAUUUUAAUACACAUUAGUUGCCCUUGACUGUCUUUGGCUAGGCUAUUUUGCAACCUCACAGUCCUUCAUUCAAUAAACAUUUAUUAAAAACA
Camelus dromedarius (Arabian camel) is the source of this 3059-nucleotide long non-coding RNA. RefSeq lists it as uncharacterized. The record is from RefSeq and is a predicted model, not a curated record. Lineage: Eukaryota; Metazoa; Chordata; Mammalia; Artiodactyla; Camelidae. The transcript has 2 exons.